AGGGGGCCUUCUUCUUUCUUGGUUCCACUCUCUCUUACUUUCAGGCUUUUGCCACCAACCUCCCAUUAUUCUUCCUUUUGCCACCAACCUCCCAUUAUUCUCCCUCUCUGACUCCAAUACUGACUUGACCAUCGGAGGGUCCCUCAUCGAAGAACCUCCCACCGGUUCCUCUGAUGUGCCGACUUUUCCUUGUAGGUACUCGAUGAUCGGGUCUGGUGCCCCCCACUCUAGCUUGGCAGCUGGCAGCCACCUCAUCACGGUGCUCGUACCACAUCACCCCUUGGGUCGGAGAGGAAUAACAAUAGAAUGGCGCU
RNAcentral lists this long non-coding RNA (314 nucleotides) under Elaeis guineensis (African oil palm). RNAcentral describes it as "long non-coding RNA (EGUI_LNC078641)". The record is from RNAcentral. Lineage: Eukaryota; Viridiplantae; Streptophyta; Magnoliopsida; Arecales; Arecaceae.